Molecule: transfer RNA, 72 nt
Filed under: Camelus bactrianus (Bactrian camel)
Lineage: Eukaryota; Metazoa; Chordata; Mammalia; Artiodactyla; Camelidae
Also listed under: 2 other names
Rfam family: tRNA
About the family: Transfer RNA (tRNA) molecules are approximately 80 nucleotides in length. Their secondary structure includes four short double-helical elements and three loops (D, anti-codon, and T loops).
Source: Rfam by way of RNAcentral
GAGGGUACAGCUCAGUGGUAGUGCAUGUGCUUAGCAUGCACAAGGUCCUGGGUUCAAUCCCCAGCACCACCA